UGUGUAGCCUAGGCUAUUGGCAUCAGGACAUUCCAAACCUAUGACAUCACAUAGGCCACAGCUGGACCUGCGACCUCCAGACCGGUUGCCAAGACAACAGGCACCAUCUUCCCAGCAUUCACUUGGCUCACCUUCCACCUUUGUGUUAUUUUCUACUUAAAUAAGGAGAACGCCCCUUCCUCGCGCUCUCUCCCCUUCUUUUCUUUCCGCUGCCACCUUGCCCUUUUCCCCUCUCAAUAGACCUCCCGUGGAACUUUUUGGCCUUGUGUGGAGCUGCCGCUGCCGAUACCAGCAUUGGUGCUGUGACUUUGGUGGUCGUUACACAGGGGAGCUGUAGAACCCGGGCGGCCGCCGGCGCCACCGCCACCGGUGCGACCAUAACACUGCCACCGCCUGCAGCCACUGCUACACCAUGUGGACUCCAUCUGCUAGCACCUGCCAUAAUCUCCCGCGUGGAUUUCCAUUGCUUCGAGACUCACAGGUUUCUACCACGUGGGAUGUGCCUCCGUGGACUACCACGUGGAACUGGCCUCUGGCCAGCCAACCAAAGGGUUCCACACUUCCUGCUACCGGACUGCAGAAUCCUGCAAACACACACCGGCAUACUGGUUGUUUCUCUUAGACAUGAAACCUACACAGCCUCCACUAGAUGACGCUACAACGUUCGAUCCCGCCAACAAGCCACCUCCGGGCCCCCGCAGACCCGCCGCCUCAGUUUCUCCUCACCAGAGCCAACUUCUCCAGCCCCUUCCCCUCCUAUCUCACGUUCUAAGUCCACAGCCAGAACCCCCAAGUCGUCCUCCUCCUCCAGGAAAACCUGACCCAGCAGCGGCCCGUCCUCUAGGGGAAGUGGCUGGUGUUGAUGAUCUGGUCAGAGUACAGGUUUCUUUCUCCCUAAGUGAGCUUUCUCAAAUAGGAAGCAGACUGAGUUCUUUUUUUUUUUUUUUUUUUUAAAGAUUUA
This 961-nucleotide long non-coding RNA is filed under the name Mus musculus (house mouse). Its description in RNAcentral is "predicted gene, 47430". The record is from RNAcentral. Lineage: Eukaryota; Metazoa; Chordata; Mammalia; Rodentia; Muridae.